This 97-nucleotide small RNA is filed under the name Flavobacterium sinopsychrotolerans. RNAcentral describes it as "Flavo-1 RNA". It matches the Rfam family "Flavo-1 RNA". Lineage: Bacteria; Pseudomonadati; Bacteroidota; Flavobacteriia; Flavobacteriales; Flavobacteriaceae. The record is from RNAcentral.
AUUCAGCAACUGUGCGUAAAGGAUGGAAGUGGAGCUCUUUAUUGUUUUAUCCCGAAGGGUAAAACAAUAAAAGCGGGAACAAACAGCCUGACCUUGU